GGCUCAGAUUGAACGCUGGCGGCAGGCCUAACACAUGCAAGUCGAGCGAGAAAGCACUUCGGUGUGAGUAGAGCGGCGGACGGGUGAGUAACACGUAGGAAUUUGCCCAGUAGUGGGGGACAACAUGUGGAAACGCAUGCUAAUACCGCAUACGCCCUAAGGGGGAAAGCAGGGGAUCUUCGGACCUUGCGCUAUUGGAUAAGCCUGCGUCGGAUUAGCUAGUUGGUGGGGUAAAGGCUCACCAAGGCGACGAUCCGUAGCUGGUCUGAGAGGAUGAUCAGCCACACUGGGACUGAGACACGGCCCAGACUCCUACGGGAGGCAGCAGUGGGGAAUAUUGGACAAUGGGCGCAAGCCUGAUCCAGCCAUGCCGCGUGUGUGAAGAAGGCUUUCGGGUUGUAAAGCACUUUCAGCGAGGAGGAAAGGUUGCAAAUUAAUACUUUGUAGCUGUGACGUUACUCGCAGAAGAAGGACCGGCUAACUCCGUGCCAGCAGCCGCGGUAAUACGGAGGGUCCGAGCGUUAAUCGGAAUUACUGGGCGUAAAGCGCGCGUAGGCGGCCUGAUAAGUUGGAUGUGAAAGCCCUGGGCUCAACCUAGGAACUGCAUUCAAAACUGUCAGGCUUGAGUACGAGAGAGGAGGGUGGAAUUUCAGGUGUAGCGGUGAAAUGCGUAGAGAUCUGAAGGAACACCAGUGGCGAAGGCGGCUCUCUGGACCAACACUGACGCUGAGGUGCGAAAGCGUGGGUAGCAAACGGGAUUAGAUACCCCGGUAGUCCACGCCGUAAACGAUGUCAACUAGCCGUUGGACUCCUUGAGGGUUUAGUGGCGCAGCUAAAGCAAUAAGUUGACCGCCUGGGGAGUACGGCCGGCAAGGCUAAAACUCAAUGAAUUGACGGGGGCCCGCACAAGCGGUGGAGCAUGUGGUUUAAUUCGAUGCAACGCGAAGAACCUUACCUACCCUUGACAUCCAGAGAACUUUCCAGAGAUGGAUUGGUGCCUUCGGAACUCUGUGACAGGUGCUGCAUGGCUGUCGUCAGCUCGUGUUGUGAAAUGUUGGGUUAAGUCCCGUAACGAGCGCAACCCUUAUCCUUAUUUGCCAGCACUUCGGGUGGGAACUCUAAGGAGACUGCCGGUGACAAACCGGAGGAAGGUGGGGACGACGUCAAGUCAUCAUGGCCCUUACGACUGGGCUACACACGUGCUACAAUGGCGAGAACAGAGGGCCGCGAAGCCGCGAGGUGAAGCUAAUCCCAGAAAACUCGUCGUAGUCCGGAUUGGAGUCUGCAACUCGACUCCAUGAAGUCGGAAUCGCUAGCAAUCGCGAAUCAGAAUGUCGCGGAGAAUACGUUCCCGGGCCUUGUACACACCGCCCGUCACACCAUGGGAGUGGAUUGCACCAGAAGUAGCUAGCUUAACUGCGGGAGGACGAUUACCACGGUGUGGUUCAUGACUGGGGUGAAGUCGUAACAAGGUAGCCGUAGGGGAACCUG
RNAcentral lists this ribosomal RNA (1491 nucleotides) under uncultured prokaryote. Its description in RNAcentral is "partial 16S ribosomal RNA". It matches the Rfam family "Bacterial small subunit ribosomal RNA". The record is from RNAcentral.